CUUCAGCGAACCCAGCCACAACGGCUGCUCCGCGGGGCGCUGACCGUAGGUGGCCAGCAAUGCCUGCGCCUC
Actinoplanes regularis is the source of this 72-nucleotide non-coding RNA. It matches the Rfam family "ASpks TB sRNA". NCBI's taxonomy places the organism in Bacteria, Bacillati, Actinomycetota, Actinomycetes, Micromonosporales, Micromonosporaceae. The record is from Rfam.